RNAcentral lists this ribosomal RNA (288 nucleotides) under Salmonella enterica subsp. enterica serovar Give. RNAcentral describes it as "partial 23S ribosomal RNA". It matches the Rfam family "Bacterial large subunit ribosomal RNA", at positions 1393 to 1681 of the family's 2925-position model. The record is from RNAcentral. RNAcentral also lists the same sequence under 2 other names. Lineage: Bacteria; Pseudomonadati; Pseudomonadota; Gammaproteobacteria; Enterobacterales; Enterobacteriaceae.
AAGGCGAGGCCGAAAGGCGUAGUCGAUGGGAAACGGGUUAAUAUUCCCGUACUUGGUGUUACUGCGAAGGGGGGACGGAGAAGGCUAUGUUGGCCGGGCGACGGUUGUCCCGGUUUAAGCGUGUAGGUGUGUGUUCCAGGUAAAUCCGGUUCACUUUAACACUGAGGCGUGAUGACGAGGCACUACGGUGCUGAAGCAACAAAUGCCCUGCUUCCAGGAAAAGCCUCUAAGCAUCAGGUAACAUCAAAUCGUACCCCAAACCGACACAGGUGGUCAGGUAGAGAAUAC